RNAcentral lists this ribosomal RNA (497 nucleotides) under uncultured bacterium. RNAcentral describes it as "partial 16S ribosomal RNA". It matches the Rfam family "Bacterial small subunit ribosomal RNA", at positions 28 to 507 of the family's 1533-position model. The record is from RNAcentral.
GAUGAACGCUGGCGGCGUGCCUAAUACAUGCAAGUCGAGCGAACGGACGAGAAGCUUGCUUCUCUGAUGUUAGCGGCGGACGGGUGAGUAACACGUGGAUAACCUACCUAUAAGACUGGGAUAACUUCGGGAAACCGGAGCUAAUACCGGAUAAUAUUUUGAACCGCAUGGUUCAAUAGUGAAAGACGGUCUUUCUGUCACUUAUAGAUGGAUCCGCGCUGCAUUAGCUAGUUGGUAAGGUAACGGCUUACCAAGGCAACGAUGCAUAGCCGACGUGAGAGGGUGAUAGGCCACACUGGAACUGAGACACGGUCCAGACUCCUACGGGAGGCAGCAGUAGGGAAUCUUCCGCAAUGGGCGAAAGCCUGACGGAGCAACGCCGCGUGAGUGAUGAAGGUCUUCGGAUCGUAAAACUCUGUUAUUAGGGAAGAACAGAUGUGUAAGUAACUGUGCACAUCUUGACGGUACCUAAUCAGAAAGCCACGGCUAACUACGUG